This 475-nucleotide ribosomal RNA is filed under the name Saccharomycetaceae sp. RNAcentral describes it as "SSU rRNA". It matches the Rfam family "Eukaryotic small subunit ribosomal RNA", at positions 611 to 1105 of the family's 1831-position model. Lineage: Eukaryota; Fungi; Ascomycota; Saccharomycetes; Saccharomycetales; Saccharomycetaceae. The record is from RNAcentral.
UGUUGCAGUUAAAAAGCUCGUAGUCGAACCUUGGGCUUGGCUGGCCGGUCCAUCUUUUUUGAUGCGUACUGGACCCAGCCGAGCCUUUCCUUCUGGCUAGCCUUUUUGGCGAACCAGGACUUUUACUUUGAAAAAAUUAGAGUGUUCAAAGCAGGCCUUUGCUCGAAUAUAUUAGCAUGGAAUAAUAGAAUAGGACGUUAUGGUUCUAUUUUGUUGGUUUCUAGGACCAUCGUAAUGAUUAAUAGGGACGGUCGGGGGUAUCAGUAUUCAGUAGUCAGAGGUGAAAUUCUUGGAUUUACUGAAGACUAACUACUGCGAAAGCAUUUACCAAGGACGUUUUCAUUAAUCAAGAACGAAAGUUAGGGGAUCGAAGAUGAUCAGAUACCGUCGUAGUCUUAACCAUAAACUAUGCCGACUAGGGAUCGGUUGUUGUUCUUUUAUUGACGCAAUCGGCACCUUACGAGAAAUCAAAGUC